CCUCGGGUGGCUGCAGUGGGGAAUAUUGGACAAUGGGCGAAAGCCUGAUCCAGCCAUGCCGCGUGUGUGAAGAAGGCCUUCGGGUUGUAAAGCACUUUCAGUGGGGAAGAAAGCCUUGGGGCUAAUACCCUCGAGGAAGGACAUCACCCACAGAAGAAGCACCGGCUAACUCCGUGCCAGCAGCCGCGGUAAUACGGAGGGUGCGAGCGUUAAUCGGAAUUACUGGGCGUAAAGCGCGCGUAGGCGGUCUGAUAAGCCGGUUGUGAAAGCCCCGGGCUCAACCUGGGAACGGCAUCCGGAACUGUCAGGCUAGAGUGCAGGAGAGGAAGGUAGAAUUCCCGGUGUAGCGGUGAAAUGCGUAGAGAUCGGGAGGAAUACCAGUGGUGAAGGCGGCCUUCUGGACUGACACUGACGCUGAGGUGCGAAAGCGUGGGUAGCAAACAGGAUUAGAUACCCUUGUAGUC
This 464-nucleotide ribosomal RNA is filed under the name Vreelandella stevensii. RNAcentral's name for it is "partial 16S ribosomal RNA". It matches the Rfam family "Bacterial small subunit ribosomal RNA", at positions 339 to 795 of the family's 1533-position model. The record is from RNAcentral. Lineage: Bacteria; Pseudomonadati; Pseudomonadota; Gammaproteobacteria; Oceanospirillales; Halomonadaceae.